UACUUGGUAGUCCAGGGGUUAGGACUUGGUGCUGUCACUGCCACGGGCCUGGGUUCAAUCCCUGGUCAGGGAA
Non-coding RNA from Bos taurus (domestic cattle), 73 nucleotides. NCBI's taxonomy places the organism in Eukaryota, Metazoa, Chordata, Mammalia, Artiodactyla, Bovidae. The record is from Rfam.